This is a long non-coding RNA of Acanthopagrus latus (yellowfin seabream), 852 nucleotides long. RefSeq lists it as uncharacterized. The record is from RefSeq and is a predicted model, not a curated record. The transcript is spliced from 4 exons. Lineage: Eukaryota; Metazoa; Chordata; Actinopteri; Spariformes; Sparidae.
GUCCGUCUCUCGGCCUCGCUGUUGCUCUCCUCAGUGGCAGCUGUGCUUCAGGUUCAGCUCCUGGUGUUUCUGGCUUUUGCCUCCUUGGAUCCGAGCUUGGAGUGACAAAAGAACGGCACACAGACGCUGAUCUGAGCUUCUGGUCUGACGCCACGUCGACAGGACGGCACCAGUGAUCCUUCCAAAGCUGCAACAUCACGGUCGUCAUUUUGGAGCCACUUUGCACUUGGCUGCAGACAAAUCCUCCCGCUGAUUUAUGUGUUGUGGCCUGUAGCAACACCAACAUUACUGUGACGGCGGUCCGAGCAGAGAGUGUGUGGAGGUGCAGAUGGUUCGAUCGGUCGCAGUCAGCGAUCAUCCUUCUGACAGUCGAAGUCGCCAUCUUGGUCUUGUAGGAGGCAGACGUGACCAUAUUUAGACGAGAGGGACCUGACUGAUGAUCUGGGGACACGCCCACUUCUACAGACAACCUGACGGCCCUCGGUCCUGGCUAACGCUAAUAUUAGCUUGCUAGCUUGAUCAUGGUUCCUGCUCAGUGUGAUAUUACACUAUUUGGGCUUCUUAUAAUAAAUGAACAGUCAAUUGUUUUCGUUAGUAUUCUGCAGAAGGAGGCUGAACAAGACAUCAACAUGAUGAUCUGGUGGCAAUUCUUAAAUUCUGGUCCUGUGAUUUUAUUUCCUCUCUCAGAACUGUAAUUAACACAAAUGUAAACAUUUUGUGAGCUUUUCUUAUUGAAAAUUAAUUGUAUGUUCAUAAUAUAACACUGACUGAUUGAAAGGCAGUUUAAUGUCCUGUUAAUCAAAUAUCUUUGUUAAUUUUAUCUCUGUUUUACAACCAUGUUUACUGGGACUU